CCCCCCAUUGGCCUCUGCCAACCCUUCGUUAUCCGAAUUGCACCCGACUACCCGAUCGUCGAUCACAGGCCCAAAUCAACAGUACCCGUCCGUUGGUUCCUUGGCCAGUCCGCUACCUUAGCUAGUGAGCUUUACAUAUGGACCACCCACGUUGGCCAGUGGCCACCGCCUAUUAAUUCCUCUACUGCUCACCUGUCCAACAGAUUCUUUCUCCCACCUAAUCCCCUCCGUCUCAUCUGAAUAAAAGGACCCCUCUUUUUCUCUCUUCAGGCUUUUAUCUUUGGGUGGUCGAGUUCUUGAUUCUUCUUUAAUUUUACCAUACGCGGAAGUUUCUUGAUUUGCCUUUCUAGUUGCUCUGCUCGGUUCGAUCUUGAUUUUGCCGUUCUAGUUGCUCUGAUCGUUUCGAUCUUGAUUUGCCGGUGCUAUCUCUGAUUUUGGGGGCACCAUCUCUUGUUUCAAUCUCUCUUUCUCUCUCCCCGACUCUCUCUCGCUCUCUCUGAAUUUUUUGUUUCUAUGAUGAUCUAAAAGCAUCGGUGAAUUCUGGAUGAAUGCGUUUGCGCACGAACAGUGUGCCGCUCUGGUGAUAUCCCUGCGUUAUUCAUCUGAGGCACGCGCGCAUGAAUGAUGAAUGUUAUUGCUCUCUAAUCUUUAAGUUUCAAUCUUUCUUUCUCUCUCUCCCCGGCUCUCUCUCUCUCUGAAUUUUGUGUGUCUAUGAUGAUCUAAAAGCAUCGGUGAAUUCUGGAUGAAUGCGCUUGCGCACGAACAGUGUGCAGCUCUGGUGAUAUCCCUGCGUUAUUCAUCUGAGACACGCACACAUGAAUGAUUCAUGUUCUUGCUCUCUAGUCUUUAGUUUCAGACCAGUCUUCUUUUACUCGAUCCGGCAAUUCAGGUCGGUAGAUCUGCUUUAUGGAAGUGACAGACUUGUAAAAUGCUGCCCUUUUGUUUUGCAUCAGGACUGAUUUUGUUUCACAAUCAAUUGAGAUUUGUCGCGAAACGAAAGGAAAUUCGACUGAGAUUGACACUUGAUGCAUAUUUAUCAAUAUACAUAGGUCCAAAACUUGUAAAGGACAAAAAAUCAAUUAAUUUUUUCAAUGCUCAUCAGAGUGCUGGACAUGCAGAUGCAGAUAGAAGCGUCUACAACAGGAUGACACAACAUACAAGCGUCGAUACAACAAGCUGGGCUCUGAUUCGCUGGUUCUGUUUAUUCCCAUCAAUGUGCAAAACAUGCAGGUACAAGUGGGAGCUCUGAUUCACGAUCUGUGAAGGUUCCUCCUGUCAGGUGUUGGAGAGGACGUGUUGGUUCUCGCACGUUCCCCCUAGGUAUUCGGUUCAGUUUGUCCGUCCAUCGAUCAUUCAAUCUGUUCCCGUGUUCUCUGUUUCGCGUUUGUGAUCUUUGCUGUCAGGUUCUUGUGUGAUUCCUCGCAAGACGGAUCCGUCCUAAAUCCUCAACCCAUCCUCUCUGGAUCGCUUGGACUCUUCAUAAUAAAGUUGAAUGAUCGAAUGAUUAAUACUGCGAGUCGUGCAUUUAUACACGGAGUUAGCACAACAGAACCUGAAACGGAUGUGACUACAAUCGAGCCGCGUGCACACGGGAUGCGGUGAUCGUUGAAGGUUCGGCAGUUCCGGGAUUUUGCCAUCACGUUGCGACUGUCCCGAAAUUCGUUGAAGAGUUACUACUCGAUCCCGGACAAAGUACAGCUCGAUCUACAUAUUGUGCUUCGUCCGCUAAUGCUGCAUAGGGAAGGAUCUUACACAUCAGCAGCAUCGGCGGCAGAAACCUUGGCUUUGGUGGCGAUAGGAGUAAAAAUGGGUUUGCAAUUGAGCAUGCGCGCACGGUCAAGAGAUAUAUUGCUCAUAGGACGGAAAUAGGCCAUGAGGAGAACGGUGGACGUUGAUGUCGAGAAAGUGAUGAAGAUCACCAAGAUUUGUCAUGGCGAACUCCUGACGAAGAUAGCCAUUGUUAGUUGUAUGCACAUUCAGAUUUAUGACGCAAUGGAAAAGACCAAGAUUUGUGUGAGAAGUCAUCAAGUGUGAGCACCACUCGAAACUCACAAAUAAUCCGACUCCAGAUCAAGGAAAACAACUCAAAUCGAUGAACUAUUUGGUUCUAGCUGUGCUGUUCCACUCAUCCUCACUCACACCGAAUUCGAUUACAAGAGUAGGUCAAAUCUAGCCUAGUCUACCCGGUCCGCCGAAAGCCAAGUUCUUCUUGGAAACUCUACUAUAUAAAGGUAGUUCCUGAAAACUCUACUAGAUAAAGGUAAA
Molecule: long non-coding RNA, 2265 nt
Organism: Brachypodium distachyon (stiff brome)
Lineage: Eukaryota; Viridiplantae; Streptophyta; Magnoliopsida; Poales; Poaceae
Exons: 2
Source: RefSeq, a predicted model, not a curated record